This 454-nucleotide ribosomal RNA is filed under the name uncultured organism. Its description in RNAcentral is "partial 16S ribosomal RNA". It matches the Rfam family "Bacterial small subunit ribosomal RNA", at positions 331 to 801 of the family's 1533-position model. The record is from RNAcentral.
GUACACUCCUACGGGAGGCAGCAGUGGGGAAUAUUGGACAAUGGGCGCAAGCCUGAUCCAGCCAUGCCGCGUGAGUGAUGAAGGCCCUAGGGUUGUAAAGCUCUUUCACCGGUGAAGAUAAUGACGGUAACCGGAGAAGAAGCCCCGGCUAACUUCGUGCCAGCAGCCGCGGUAAUACGAAGGGGGCCAGCGUUGUUCGGAUUUACUGGGCGUAAAGCGCACGUAGGCGGACUAUUAAGUCAGGGGUGAAAUCCCGGGGCUCAACCCCGGAACUGCCUUUGAUACUGGUAGUCUUGAGUUCGGUAGAGGUGAGUGGAAUUCCGAGUGUAGAGGUGAAAUUCGUAGAUAUUCGGAGGAACACCAGUGGCGAAGGCGGCUCACUGGCUCGAUACUGACGCUGAGGUGCGAAAGCGUGGGGAGCAAACAGGAUUAGAAACCCGGGUAGUCCCAUGAU